GCCAUUUUCUGUAGAUCCUUCAGGAUCCGUAGGUGAUGAGCCAAGUCUGUGGCCAGGAUGAUGUCCCUCAUCAGGUCAAGCAUCCUCUGAACUUCUCAAAGAUAUUGCAGCCCUGGGUGUUGAGGAUGGCGAUCGCCUGAGCAAAGUGGUGUCUCUGGAAAUGAAAGCCAAUAGUCAGUGCACAGAUCCCUCAGAACUAUACAGGCCAGCCAACACAGAUUUCUGGAGAAGAGAAGACAAAACUGAUUGUUUUUGUAAUGCAUGCUUCUGUGGCAGUUUGUGUUUCUCCAGUAAGCUACAUUAUGUUUAUUUGUUGGUCAUUGAUUCUAUGGCUAAAUUUAAAGGGAAACUCAGACGCUUUUAACAUUUGGGUUGUUAUUAAGAAGUAUUUAUUAAUGUCUUACACAGUGUGCAGUAUUAUGAUUUCAUGUCUAUUGACUGUUUAAUGAUGAGCAGAAUUGGAAAUUGUUUGUGAAGUUUUCAAGUAGAAUCUCUGAAAUGACUAAUAAAAGUUUUUAUGGACAGUCAUUUUCAGC
Oncorhynchus nerka (sockeye salmon) is the source of this 536-nucleotide long non-coding RNA. RefSeq lists it as uncharacterized. The transcript is spliced from 3 exons. The record is from RefSeq and is a predicted model, not a curated record. Lineage: Eukaryota; Metazoa; Chordata; Actinopteri; Salmoniformes; Salmonidae.